RNAcentral lists this long non-coding RNA (841 nucleotides) under Bos taurus (domestic cattle). Its description in RNAcentral is "long non-coding RNA NONBTAT008032". The record is from RNAcentral. Lineage: Eukaryota; Metazoa; Chordata; Mammalia; Artiodactyla; Bovidae.
CCUAUACUGCCUGCAAAUAAUCGAUGAUUUAAAUUUCAAAUAGGUGGUGUGUUUGAGAAGAAACAAGUGGGUGGAAGGAAAGAUUGUUUAAGUGCAGAGGACUGAAUUAGCAUCAGACUCUGACAUUUCAUUAAAAUAACAUUUAGGCCUGACUUAUUUGCUUAGCAUGUGUAUGCUGCAAUGUCAGAAAUGCCUCCUAUGCCUUAGAAGAUCUGAGAAGGCUUCCUUACGUUGGGUGGAACAGAAAAGCAAUAGUAGCCUUGGAGACUUGUCUGCAUCCAGAGAGAAGCCCAUUAGGGUUCUCAUACUGAGAAACCUUGAGUACUGUGAAAUGUUGAACUUUAUGCAGAUCACAUCGCACUGGAUUUUAAAGAUUUAGGGGAAGGAAGUAGAGGAGGAGAAGGGGAAGUAAUUAAUGGUAAAGUAUAUAUAUAUGAACUUUAUUUUACACAAGUAAUGAAACAAAUUCCCUAUCAGGAAUUCUCUGUCAGGACUAACCAGCCAUAUUCUUCUGUCCUACUGAUUGGCUUGUGAUUCCUCUUAAACCUCUAAGUAAUCCUUUCUGAAAGAGCUAAACAGAAACUAGUCUGACUGCAGUUUCACCACCCUGCCCCAUUCCCUUACUCACAACAAAAGAAAAACAUACCCAAACUAUAGGCAAAAAAAAAAAGUCUCAGUACGUUAACUUUUCAUCCUUUAUGGUCUGUGUUCACUGUUGUAGCCUAUUGCAUUGUUUUGCAAUAUAAUGGCAGAACUUAAGUAGAUCUGCCACAUAAGUCAGGAACCAUUGGCUUCUCCUUUAAGAAAUCUUAACACCAGAACUCUCAAUCUUUAGCUUGUC